GAUAAUGUUGUUUGAAUUGCAAUUCUUAAUUUUUCAUAAGUAAUUGUAUAAUUUGUUUGUGUUGUAUUCCACAGUUAAACUGUGGUUUCCUUUGAGAAUUGAGAAAGUCUGAGUCACUGAGUGCGUUACUCAGUGAGUCAAUGUCCUAUUUUUGCAUUAGAAUUAAAAUAACAAGUAUCUGAGCAAUCUGGUAUGUUGGAUGACAUUAAUGGUCAGGAUUUUCUCAACUGUGUAUUACUGCAGGAAUAUUUGACAGCAGCAAAUCUGAAUCC
RNAcentral lists this long non-coding RNA (272 nucleotides) under Trifolium pratense (red clover). RNAcentral's name for it is "long non-coding RNA (TPRA_LNC000442)". The record is from RNAcentral. Lineage: Eukaryota; Viridiplantae; Streptophyta; Magnoliopsida; Fabales; Fabaceae.